Long non-coding RNA from Fukomys damarensis (Damara mole-rat), 351 nucleotides. RefSeq lists it as uncharacterized. The record is from RefSeq and is a predicted model, not a curated record. Lineage: Eukaryota; Metazoa; Chordata; Mammalia; Rodentia; Bathyergidae. The transcript has 4 exons.
UCUGAGGACAGAAGGAUCAAUGAAAACUCAGUUUCGUUCUUGAUAUAAUGCCACGAUCAGUUUAGUCAUUGUCUAUUCUCCACAUACUGAAAAAGUGAUUGCACCGGGUCCAUUCAGGAAGAAGAAAAAAAGUAAGAGAACAGUUUCUAUCUCCCAUCUGAUGUUUGUCAACUGAUUACCAAGUCCUGUCCUAGGGAUGUACUUUACUAGACCUUGAAAGGAGCCACACCGGGCAAAGGCUGGUUAAAGUGAGAGGCAGGAACGUGGGCAUAGACAGAGGCAUUGCCCUGUUGUGGGACAGUCAGAGGACCCUCAACAGAGACAUACAAGAAAUUAUUCGUAAGCCCGUUA